Molecule: long non-coding RNA, 103 nt
Organism: Nomascus leucogenys (northern white-cheeked gibbon)
Lineage: Eukaryota; Metazoa; Chordata; Mammalia; Primates; Hylobatidae
Exons: 2
Source: RefSeq, a predicted model, not a curated record
UCUAGUGGGGAGUUGGAGAACCUUUAUUUCUAGCUAAAGGAUUGUGAAUACACCAAUCAGCACUCUGUAUCUAGCUCAAGGUUUGUAAAUGCACUAAUCAGCA